Molecule: unclassified non-coding RNA, 1768 nt
Organism: Stylophora pistillata
Lineage: Eukaryota; Metazoa; Cnidaria; Anthozoa; Scleractinia; Pocilloporidae
Source: RefSeq, a predicted model, not a curated record
UACCUUAAACGACCGAAGGAGCCUGCGGUGAAUGGGACACGAGGUAAACAGAACGAGCGAACGAUCAUGAAUUAUUUUACACACGUCCGUGCGCACAAGCUGGUACUCUAGCGAUCUUUGUGAUCAGUUAUAAAGAUCAUUACUGACUAGAAAGAUGACAACAGACCUUGCUAUACCUGGACAAGUCAACUUGGAUGCUCCACAAUGGGAUCAGUCCACUUUUUGGGGACGUUUUAAACAUUUUUUUGCAAUCACAGACUGGAGGAAAGCUCUUUAUAGCAAUUCACAGCUGGAUGAGGCAAAGGAACUUAUGGAAGAUUACAGACAAGGCAAGACAAACAAAGUGUCUGUUGAAGAUCUCUGGCAUGCAAAACAUCUGGUGGACUCUGCAUUUCAUCCAGACACUGGGGAGCGAAUGAAUUUCAUGGGUCGUAUGUCUUUCCAGGUGCCUGGUGGCAUGGCAAUAACAGGGGCUAUGUUACAGUGGUACAGGACUGUCCCAGCUGUUGUGUUUUGGCAGUGGAUCAACCAGUCAUUCAAUGCCCUAGUAAACUACACAAAUAGGAAUGCUAAAUCAACAGUAACUGGAAAGCAGAUUGGUAUUGCCUAUGUAUCAGCAACAUCAAGUGCUGUGGCUGUAUCUGUAGGACUCAAUUCUCUUGUGAAGUCAGCCCCGCCUCUUCUUGCCCGAUGGGUUCCCUUUAUAGCAGUUGCUGCUGCCAAUUGUGUAAACAUUCCUCUGACAAGGCAAAGAGAAAUUUUAGAUGGUAUUUUAGUAUUUGAUGAAAACAACAACCCAGUAGGAAAGUCGAAGAAGGCUGCUGUGAAAGGAAUAACACAAGUUGUCAUCUCCAGAGUUACAAUGGCUGCACCUGGAAUGAUUAUUAUACCAGUGCUGAUGGAAAAAAUUGAAAAAUACCACUUUAUGCAGCGUAUCAAGCCUAUGCAUGGUCCUAUUCAGAUGUUGCUUUGUGGUGUGAGCUUGUGCUUCAUGGUACCGGCUGCUUGUUCACUAUUCCCACAGAGGUGCUCCAUGCCAGUAGAAAAGCUUGAGGCAGAGUUGCAGGAGGUGAUAAGAAAGCGUGAAGGACCAGCUUUAAAAACAGUUUUCUUCAACAAGGGACUUUAAUGUUUCAAUGUUUUCCUUGAGCUGCUUAAAAUCAGAAAUUUUAUUUACCGGGGAUCAAUGCAGCCAAUCCAAAGUGGGCAAGAUGGGCCCAUCUUGCCUGCUCGGGUAGCCAAUCAGAAUACAGGAUUUUCUUUACCUUGCCCACAGGCACUGUGAGCAAUGUAAUGAUUAAAAUUAUUCAUACCCAUUUCAACCCUUUACACGGUAACUUGAGUAUGCAUAUUCUCCAUGUUCUUCUUACAUUGGCUUCGGUGUAAAAAAGUUAGUCUUCUCUAGUUGGUGAUCAUUUCCUUUUUUUCUUGUUACUGUAAUGUGCCAUUCAAGGGUGACAUUGUAAGGAGAAAUUAGAUGCUAGUCACUCUUAGGGAUCAAAGGGUUUGAUUGUUGGCAGAGACCUAUGAUUUUAACAACUUCAUUUAUGUUUAUCAUUACAGUAUUCACUAAUCUAUGUACCUAGAAUUACAUCGUUUCAUUAUUUCUACUUUCUAUCAAACCAUGCCAUCUUGAAACUUUUUUCUUCAAAUAAUUUGGUAUGCUUCAUGUAUUAUAAUUAUAAUGUUUGACAAACAUAAUGGCUAUAAAGGCCAUUUGAUUGUGUAGGAAAGAAACUGUGAGAAAUGGUUUUGUCACUGUCUUGUA